This 433-nucleotide ribosomal RNA is filed under the name uncultured bacterium. Its description in RNAcentral is "partial 16S ribosomal RNA". It matches the Rfam family "Bacterial small subunit ribosomal RNA", at positions 29 to 507 of the family's 1533-position model. The record is from RNAcentral.
AACGAACGCUGGCGGCAUGCCUAACACAUGCAAGUCGAACGAGACCUUCGGGUCUAGUGGCGCACGGGUGCGUAACGCGUGGGAACCUGCCCUUAGGUUCGGAAUAACUCCCCGAAAGGGGUGCUAAUAACGGAUAAUGUCUUCGGACCAAAGAUUUAUCGCCUUUGGAUGGGCCCGCGUUGGAUUAGCUAGUUGUUAGGGUAAAAGCCUGCCAAGGCGACGAUCCAUAGCUGGUCUGAGAGGAUGAACAGCCACACUGGGACUGAGACAUGGCCCAGACGGCUACGAGAGGCAGCAGUGAGGGAUAUAGGAGAGUGGGCGAAAGCCUGAGCCAGCGAGGCCGCGUGAGUGAUGGAGGCGUUAGGGUUGUAAAGCGCUAUGGCCCAGGAUGAUAAUGACGGUACCGGGAGAAUAAGCUCCGGCUAACUCCGUG